AAAAAAAUUGGACAAAAAAUUUGGAAACCAGUUGAGAAGAUGACUGCCAAAACGCUCUUGAAAACAUUCUUUUUGCUGUUUGUUGGUUUGAUUGUCACGCUUAGUACUUCGCCAUUGAUCUACAGAUGUUUAGUGAUAAUGGACAGUAGCGACAACAAUUGUGCAGUUUACGACAGAGUGUCGAAAUUAAAGGUGUCAUCACUAGGAACAUGUGACCAUGACGAUGUCAAGGAAUGGGCCUUCCGACUGCUACUGACAACAUCUUUAUUUCUUGCUUUCGUCACG
Saccostrea cuccullata (small rock oyster) is the source of this 285-nucleotide long non-coding RNA. RefSeq lists it as uncharacterized. The transcript is spliced from 3 exons. NCBI's taxonomy places the organism in Eukaryota, Metazoa, Mollusca, Bivalvia, Ostreida, Ostreidae. The record is from RefSeq and is a predicted model, not a curated record.